Long non-coding RNA from Struthio camelus australis, 1204 nucleotides. RefSeq lists it as uncharacterized. The record is from RefSeq and is a predicted model, not a curated record. NCBI's taxonomy places the organism in Eukaryota, Metazoa, Chordata, Aves, Struthioniformes, Struthionidae.
UUAGUUUUGGGUUCAGUCUUCAAGAUACUCUCCCCUGGCGACACAUGCUGAUGAGGAUUGUCACGGCGGACGAUGCACUGCACAUUUGUUUCUGCUAGGACUCCGGCCGCAGCUGAAACCGCUACCACGACACAGCAAGAAGCAAGGGGCAAGCCUGGUAGCAGCCAGCCUUAAUUAGCAAUGUCGUCUACAAGAAAGAUCUCAGUCAAAAAUGCUGCCAUCUUCAAGAGUGGAGACAUUAUCAUCUCUGGAGGAUGCUACUGAUUGUCACUGUGCGAUUUCCACUGCAACAGAAUAUGCAAAAGCCCCACACGUGCAUAACAACAUCCAGGAAGCUUUAUACUGACCAUCCUCCUCAACAGCUGGAGCUCCAAAAGAAUUCAGACAUUUUCCUAAAGGAGGUGGAGAAAGUGGAACACCUUUCCAAAGAUAGCGAAGGAUUCAAGACAACUCUGGUCAUAAUCAAUCAGUGUAAUGGCUAGCCUGAGAUGGAGAAUACGGCCUUUAAUAGAGACGAAAGGUAGAAGACGGUGAAGAAAACUGACUUCUGGAGUAAUGGGAAAAAACUGCUAUAUACCAUUUCACCACAAGACCACACCAAAGCAAGUGCAAAGACUACCUGAAAAUGUAUUCUGAGGAACACACAGAGAAAUGUCCUUUGAAUUACAGGGAUCUGCUCACUCCAUAUAAAAUGUUAGUGUGGCUCCAACUUCAUAACUGCUCAUCUUUUUUCAUGUGUAUGCAUGCAUAUGUGUGAUGGCGGAGAGGAGGAAGGUGCUAACAAGAAGUUAUUAAAUUACAAGUGAUUAAUGUAUCUGAUUUAAUGUCUUAAUUAGACUGGUAGAUAGGUUGAGGGAAAGAUCUUUUCCCUAAACAAGACUGCAUGUUUAUGAUAGGGUUGCAUACAUUUUGCCUCAUAGCUGAAUUCAUAGAUUCAGUUUUAGAACAUGUCCGUUGUAUAGGAGCUUCUUCAAACAUUGCAACUAAGUCAAAAACAGUUUGAGUUAGUGUUAUUCUCUAUAGAAACAAAAUAUUUUCUCUGUGAUUAUAACAACUCAGUAAAUGGUUUUGUUUUAAACUCAAGUAGGUUUUUAACAGAGAAUGCUAUUGUAUUGCGAUAGUGUUUAAUCAAAAUACCAUUAAAAAAACCCCUACUUUUUAGCCAAAAAGUUUUGUGUUGUUUAUACGUAUGAUAAAAGCAUAA